UGUAAGCAUGCAGCGUACGCUGGCACAGUGCCGAGCGAACGCAGUCCUCUUUACCGAAACGCACCACGCCAAUCAUCUCAUCCUCUUCGAAGCGCGCCAGCGCAUCGGCAAGGCCAGAUUGGACGCUGGCGGGCAGGUCGCACUGGGUGACAUCACCGUUUACAAUCACGGUGACGUUUUCGCCCAAGCGGGUC
This is a non-coding RNA of 194 nucleotides. It matches the Rfam family "Yersinia sRNA 251". Rfam says of the family: Antisense to phoH gene. Trimmed on 5'end from the original size. The record is from Rfam.